This 450-nucleotide ribosomal RNA is filed under the name uncultured bacterium. RNAcentral's name for it is "partial 16S ribosomal RNA". It matches the Rfam family "Bacterial small subunit ribosomal RNA", at positions 354 to 796 of the family's 1533-position model. The record is from RNAcentral.
GUGGGGAAUUUUGGACAAUGGGCGCAAGCCUGAUCCAGCAAUGCCGCGUGCAGGAAGAAGGCCUUCGGGUUGUAAACUGCUUUUGUACGGAACGAAACGGUCCGGGUUAAUACCCUGGGCUAAUGACGGUACCGUAAGAAUAAGCACCGGCUAACUACGUGCCAGCAGCCGCGGUAAUACGUAGGGUGCAAGCGUUAAUCGGAAUUACUGGGCGUAAAGCGUGCGCAGGCGGUUUUGUAAGCCAGGCGUGAAAUCCCCGGGCUCAACCUGGGAAUUGCGCUUGUGACUGCAAGGCUGGAGUGCGGCAGAGGGGGAUGGAAUUCCGCGUGUAGCAGUGAAAUGCGUAGAUAUGCGGAGGAACACCGAUGGCGAAGGCAAUCCCCUGGGCCUGCACUGACGCUCAUGCACGAAAGCGUGGGGAGCAAACAGGAUUAGAAACCCUUGUAGUCC